RNAcentral lists this long non-coding RNA (818 nucleotides) under Homo sapiens (human). RNAcentral describes it as "long intergenic non-protein coding RNA 2369". Lineage: Eukaryota; Metazoa; Chordata; Mammalia; Primates; Hominidae. The record is from RNAcentral.
AUCUCCAACAUAAGAAGGUAAGAAGGCUGCAGCUUCCACCGGGCCUCUUGGGCUGUGUACUCUUGACACUCUUGCUCUGAGAACUAAGCAGGCAUAUUUCAUAUCAAAAUAGUAAAGAACUUCCUUUCCAAAGGCAGGACUUGCUUCUGUGAGGUACUGAGCCACCCGUCCCUGGAGGAAAGCAAGAACAGAGCAGAUCAGAGCCCAGGCAGACAUCUUGGAUGAUGGGGUACAUCUUGCCAUCCAGAGGCAAUGCUGGAGCGGGCAGUUGUCUGCGGGGAGGCCCUGGCUCACUCUGGGCCAAAUAACAGGACUGAUUGCAGCCUGCGAUGAAACAUCCUGUUUCUCCCAACCAGAAACAGGUAGAGGAGCUGCUUUAGGAUGGAAGAUGAGGCUUGCUUUUUCUUUCUCCUAGAAGUCAGCAUUUUACAUGAUUCUGGGAGGGAAGAAAGGAGACAGGAACCAAGGAGCCUGAGUGGGGAUUUGCCCACCACUGGGCAGCCAGGCUCCCGUCAGGAAGGCUUUUCAGAGGGAGUGUUGGAAGGAGUCGUCGAGGAGUCUUCCUCACCCAGGAAGUCUUCCUCACCGGGUGAGCCCCAACCUGCUGGACCUGCUCAGAAUUUGCCCAACAGGGGAUCCUGGUUGACUGAGGUCUGCUAAUUCCAACUGGCCUACGCUAAAUUCUCCCAGAAUGUCUUCAUCAUCAAUGAAUCGCUUUCCACUGACACGACGCCUGGAAGAACAUAAACACUGUGAGGAUAAAUGCCAAUGAAAUAAUAAUAAAAUAAACUUUCUUUGGUGGCCAGAGGGAAACAGAA